GCGAGCGGCGGAUGGGUGAGUAACACGUGGGGAACCUGCCCCAUAGUCUGGGAUACCACUUGGAAACAGGUGCUAAUACCGGAUAAGAAAGCAGAUCGCAUGAUCAGCUUUUAAAAGGCGGCGUAAGCUGUCGCUAUGGGAUGGCCCCGCGGUGCAUUAGCUAGUUGGUAAGGUAAAGGCUUACCAAGGCGAUGAUGCAUAGCCGAGUUGAGAGACUGAUCGGCCACAUUGGGACUGAGACACGGCCCAAACUCCUACGGGAGGCAGCAGUAGGGAAUCUUCCACAAUGGACGCAAGUCUGAUGGAGCAACGCCGCGUGAGUGAAGAAGGUUUUCGGAUCGUAAAGCUCUGUUGUUGGUGAAGAAGGAUAGAGGUAGUAACUGGCCUUUAUUUGACGGUAAUCAACCAGAAAGUCACGGCUAACUACGUGCCAGCAGCCGCGGUAAUACGUAGGUGGCAAGCGUUGUCCGGAUUUAUUGGGCGUAAAGCGAGCGCAGGCGGAAGAAUAAGUCUGAUGUGAAAGCCCUCGGCUUAACCGAGGAACUGCAUCGGAAACUGUUUUUCUUGAGUGCAGAAGAGGAGAGUGGAACUCCAUGUGUAGCGGUGGAAUGCGUAGAUAUAUGGAAGAACACCAGUGGCGAAGGCGGCUCUCUGGUCUGCAACUGACGCUGAGGCUCGAAAGCAUGGGUAGCGAACAGGAUUAGAUACCCUGGUAGUCCAUGCCGUAAACGAUGAGUGCUAAGUG
This 745-nucleotide ribosomal RNA is filed under the name uncultured bacterium. RNAcentral describes it as "bacterial SSU rRNA". It matches the Rfam family "Bacterial small subunit ribosomal RNA", at positions 91 to 822 of the family's 1533-position model. The record is from RNAcentral.